UACAGAGGGUGCAAGCGUUAAUCGGAAUUACUGGGCGUAAAGCGUGCGUAGACGGUUACAUAAGUCGGGUGUGAAAGCCCCGGGCUCAACCUGGGAAUUGCAUUCGAGACUGCGUAGCUAGGGUGCGGAAGAGGGAAGCGGAAUUUCCGGUGUAGCGGUGAAAUGCGCAGAUAUCAGGAGGAACACCAAUGGCGAAGGCAGCUCGCUGGGACGGUACUGACGCUGAGACGCGAAAGCGUGGGGAGCAAACAGG
Molecule: ribosomal RNA, 253 nt
Filed under: uncultured bacterium
Lineage: Bacteria
Description: partial 16S ribosomal RNA
Rfam family: Bacterial small subunit ribosomal RNA
Source: RNAcentral